GAUGAACGCUAGCUACAGGCUUAACACAUGCAAGUCGAGGGGAAACGACAUCGAAAGCUUGCUUUUGAUGGGCGUCGACCGGCGCACGGGUGAGUAACGCGUAUCCAACCUGCCCACCACUUGGGGAUAACCUUGCGAAAGUAAGACUAAUACCCAAUGAUAUCUCUAGAAGACAUCUGAAAGAGAUUAAAGAUUUAUCGGUGAUGGAUGGGGAUGCGUCUGAUUAGCUUGUUGGCGGGGUAACGGCCCACCAAGGCAACGAUCAGUAGGGGUUCUGAGCGUAAGGUCCCCCACACUGGAACUGAGACACGUUCCAAACUCCUACGGGAGGCAGCAGUGAGGAAUAUUGGUCAAUGGACGAGAGUCUGAACCAGCCAAGUAGCGUGCAGGAUGACGGCCCUAUGGGUUGUAAACUGCUUUUAUAAGGGAAUAAAGUGAGUCUCGUGAGGCUUUUUGCAUGUACCUUAUGAAUAAGGACCGGCUAAUUCCGUGCCAGCAGCCGCCGUAA
This 508-nucleotide ribosomal RNA is filed under the name uncultured bacterium. RNAcentral describes it as "partial 16S ribosomal RNA". It matches the Rfam family "Bacterial small subunit ribosomal RNA", at positions 28 to 523 of the family's 1533-position model. The record is from RNAcentral.